RNAcentral lists this unclassified non-coding RNA (329 nucleotides) under soil metagenome. Its description in RNAcentral is "partial contains 5.8S ribosomal RNA, internal transcribed spacer 2, and large subunit ribosomal RNA". The stretch from base 1 to 120 matches the Rfam family "5.8S ribosomal RNA", at positions 35 to 154 of the family's 154-position model. The record is from RNAcentral.
GAUGAAGAACGUAGCGAAAUGCGAUAAGUAAUGUGAAUUGCAGACUUCAGUGAAUCAUCGAAUCUUUGAACGCACAUUGCGCCCCCUGGUAUUCCGGGGGGCAUGCCUGUCCGAGCGUCAUUACAACCCUCAAGCUCAGCUUGGUGUUGGGCCCCGCCGCCCCGGCGGGCCCUAAAGUCAGUGGCGGUGCCGUCCGGCUCCGAGCGUAGUAAUUCUUCUCGCUCUGGAGGUCCGGUCGUGUGCUCGCCAGCAACCCCCAAUUUUUUUCAGGUUGACCUCGGAUCAGGUAGGGAUACCCGCUGAACUCAAGCAUAUCAAUAAGCGGAGGA